GAUAGUCUGUCCCUGCGCACCUCUUCUCCACCGGGAGAGCCCCCGGGAAAGCCAUUUCUCUUCCCAAAGGGAAACUUAGGCCAGUUUCCCAGAGGGUCUGAUGGCACGAAAAGGCUGAGGAGCCUCAAGGCUGGCCCAGUGCCUCUGAGAAGCGGGUGAAGUCAUGGCCUGUUGCUUUGAUAAGAGGUGCUGUUCUCCUCCUGUUGGCUUCAGGUGACUCAGCAGUAGUAUGUGGCUGACAUUAAAUUAGAGUCACGUUUACGUAACACGUCAUAGUUUCGACGAGCUGUAACCACAGAGCUGAUGGGAGACUGGGGGGGUGUUUUUUACCUCAGAAGGUUCUCUGUUGGGACUGCCCACGCAGCCGAGAAGCAACUGAAGGGACUCUGCUUUCUUUUUGAGCUGCUUAAAACACACAGAUGGAAUGAGUGCCCAUGUGCAAGCUUUGGUAGCAGAACAGCUUCAGGGGUUGGCCUUCAUGAGAAGAGACCUCCAUCUCCAACAGAGCCAGUGAUCUCUGAAAUACACCUGCUGCAGGAUAAAGAUCGAAAAGAAAUAUCUUCCUGGCAGCACUGCGUAUGGAAGGAAUAAGGAAAGUAACAAGGAGAAAGUUGCGCGCAUUUACAACAUGAAGAUGCUAUUCAAGGUCAGAAGAAGAAGGUCUUCUAUCUACGUAGAAGAAGGUGGAGACCAUAUAAACACUCAUUGAAAGAGACCCAUGGAGAAAACAGAAGUAGGGGAAAGCACUACAGCUGGAAAAUAAAUCUUGACAAUCCUCCAUUCUUGCUGUCAGACAACACCAGAAGCACACUGGCUUCAAGCAGUCCAGUAUCAAAGUGGAUUUGGAGAUUUGGCUAUUGCUCUACUGGGAGAUGGUUGGAAGUACAAAGAGGGGAAAAAUAACCGGUGAAUACGUAACAGGAACAACUCGUUCUUGGAUUCAGAGCUGUCUGUGGACAAUCUGUAAGCCAGUGUUUUAAGUAAAAUAUGUGACUAAUGAUCCCUAUGAGGAGCAUGAAGUAAUUAAUACCUGGAGGUGAUAUACAAGGCUGAGGGAAAGUGGGAUGAAGGCGUAACAACAUGGGAGAAUGGCAGUGUUUGAGAAAAGCCCACACCUUUGGAGGUGGCUUCUCAUGGGGGAGCAAGCUGUGAAGAAAGCACAUGAAGAAUAAGGACACAUUUUAAGUGCCUUUAACACAUUGCAAGAAUGUGUAAAGGACCACGUUCCCAUAUUUCAUGAGCAAUCACAGUGCUAGCUGCUUUUUUUUUAAUUGCAGCAAAUUACUGACUUGCUUGAGCUUUUCAAAACUGGUGAAACUCAUUAUACUUCAGAAUAAUUGCAUAAACUACUUUAAUAUUCAAACACACUUGAAUAAACAACUAUUCUGUAUUAAGUUUUCAACAAACUGUUGCUUUUGCUGGUUGAACCUUGUGUUCUCUGUAAAGAUUACUUUCUUAUGGCACUUCUGAAAGUUAAUAUGCAAGAGCAACAUAUAAUUUGAGGUCCUUUCAGUUAAUUGCCCACACAGCUGAAUUCUGCAAAACUGCUCAAUUACUAAAAGGCAAAAUCUGAGCUGUUUGUUUAUUUUCCCUUCAGUGGGAACUCAGCUUUCUGCUAAUCAGUGACUGCAGCUGAAAUGAAUUCAUCAUCACAACGGUAAAACAAGUAGUGCAUUCAUUUAGCAGCCUGUUAAACUGUGCAUGCAUUUUAGUCCCUUUGCAAUGUGGUUGCCAUGGCAUUUGUGGGUGGUGGUGAAGAUGACAGGAGAUUCUCAACAUAAAUACCAAACCACGCUAUAAUAUAUGUCGUGCUGACCUGCUAUUAAUUAGGUGGCUGCUCUUUUAUCAUAAAGAACACAUCAGUUCAACUUUCCCUUCAGUAAGUGAUGUGAAAUCUGAACCAGCAGUGGCUAUAGGAACGUAAAUCAUAUGACGAACUUUUAAAGGUCGGGUUUCUGUGUUACUGAGGUUUUCCAAAACUGUACAGGCAUUAUGAGCAAGUGGCAAUAAGGUGACAGUCUGCACUGAAAGGCUGGGCUGUGUACCUGACUAUGGACUACAUUCUAGCAAUUCUAUCUUGUCAUAAAGUGUAAUGAUGGUUAGGAACGUAUAUUAAUUAAAAUAUGAAGUU
RNAcentral lists this long non-coding RNA (2131 nucleotides) under Gallus gallus (chicken). RNAcentral describes it as "lncRNA (ENSGALG00000047858.2)". Lineage: Eukaryota; Metazoa; Chordata; Aves; Galliformes; Phasianidae. The record is from RNAcentral.